Homo sapiens (human) is the source of this 1142-nucleotide long non-coding RNA. RefSeq annotates it as MCTP1 antisense RNA 3. Lineage: Eukaryota; Metazoa; Chordata; Mammalia; Primates; Hominidae. The record is from RefSeq and is a predicted model, not a curated record. The transcript has 4 exons.
AACAAGAACUUCAAGGAAUUUCUAGUCCUCCAAAUGAGUUACACUAUAUUGGGACAGCAAUGAGAUAAGAGCUGGGAUGAAAAGAAUUUGACAGAGCAAGAGUAGAUGCAUGAUAGAAUAGGUUACAAGGAAGAAAAGAUCCGUGUUCAAUGGUUAAGUCAAUGGGGGCAGGAAUUUGGUUUUUGUUGUUCAACACUACAUACCCAGUUUCAGGCCCAUAACAAGAGAAAUGAAUGAAUGGGAGAGUGAGUGAGGCUAUUUGAUCCUUUCUCUUUGUUUCUUUAAUCUAGUAUUUCCCAAUGUAUGGAAUGCUUCAACUAGUAAUCUGGGACAUCAUUUUAGGUGGUAAUGGUACAUUAAACACUCUAAAUCAGGUAGAGACAAAGUGUUUCCCCUUUUAAUUUCCUAGUAUCAAGGAGAAAAAUUUCAGUUUAGUACUAGUAGGCCUUUAACAUCUUUCUAUUCUUGUUUAAACAGGAGACAUGUUCUCAGGGACUGAGCUCCAGGUAACUUUAUUUAGUUAAAACUAUAUACAGUCAUUUGUCACUUAACAAUAAGGAUACAUUCUGAGAAAUGCAUUGUGGGUGAUUUUGUUGUUUUAUGAACAUCAUGGAAUGUACUUACACAAAUUGAGAUGGAAUAGCCUACUAUACGCCUAGGCUGGAUGGUAUAGCCUGUUGCUCUGAGGCUACCAACCUACACAGUCUCCACUGCUACGACAACAAUAAAGAUCUAAAGCAGCUGUUCAGCUUUGGGUGGACCACACAGAGCCAUCCCCAGGAGACACAGCAACCUGAGACAACAGUCAGUCAAACAAAUGUAAACAUAAUCUUCAGUGUCCUGGAGUAGAAGAGUCAAGAUUUACAUAAAUCCCUAGAUUCGAAUUUUUAUCCUUCCUCACCUAUAUAGUUCAGAUACCAGUACAAGUUGGGUGACUUCUGGCUCUCAUCCUCCAAGAAGAGGGAAAGACUGAGGAAACGAGAACCAACGCAGUUAUUGCUGAACCCAGGAUAAUCAGAACUGCUGGAGUCAUCCUGUGACCAUAGAGGGAGAUUUCACUGAAUCCUGAUGAUGGCAGAAGAGAAUUAUGAAGAGUGCCUCCGUCCUUGAAGACUCUGUUGAGCAGCCAAACUGACCCUGGA